GACGGGACCCGCACAAGCGGUGGAUGAUGUGGUUUAAUUCGAUGCAACGCGAAAACCUUACCCACCUUUGACAUGUACGGAACCCUUUAGAGAUAGAGGGUGCUCGAAAGAGAGCCGUAACACAGGUGCUGCAUGGCUGUCGUCAGCUCGUGUCGUGAGAUGUUGGGUUAAGUCCCGCAACGAGCGCAACCCUUGUCAUUAGUUGCUACAUUCAGUUGGGCACUCUAAUGAGACUGCCGGUGACAAACCGGAGGAAGGUGGGGAUGACGUCAAGUCCUCAUGGCCCUUAUAGGUGGGGCUACACACGUCAUACAAUGGAUGGUACAAAGGGUCGCCAACCCGCGAGGGGGAGCCAAUCCCAUAAAGCCAUUCGUAGUCCGGAUCGCAGUCUGCAACUCGACUGCGUGAAGUCGGAAUCGCUGGUAAUCGUGGAUCAGAAUGUCACGGUGAAUACGUUCCCGGGUCUU
This 467-nucleotide ribosomal RNA is filed under the name uncultured Acidovorax sp. Its description in RNAcentral is "bacterial SSU rRNA". It matches the Rfam family "Bacterial small subunit ribosomal RNA", at positions 916 to 1381 of the family's 1533-position model. Lineage: Bacteria; Pseudomonadati; Pseudomonadota; Betaproteobacteria; Burkholderiales; Comamonadaceae. The record is from RNAcentral.